This 89-nucleotide transfer RNA is filed under the name Oscillospiraceae bacterium. Its description in RNAcentral is "tRNA-Ser". It matches the Rfam family "tRNA". Rfam says of the family: Transfer RNA (tRNA) molecules are approximately 80 nucleotides in length. Their secondary structure includes four short double-helical elements and three loops (D, anti-codon, and T loops). The record is from RNAcentral. Lineage: Bacteria; Bacillati; Bacillota; Clostridia; Eubacteriales; Oscillospiraceae.
GCAGCGGUAUCGAAGAGGUCAUAACGGGGCUGACUCGAAAUCAGUUUGUGAGCAAUCACACGUGGGUUCGAAUCCCACCCGCUGCGCCA